This 506-nucleotide ribosomal RNA is filed under the name uncultured Glomeraceae. RNAcentral describes it as "SSU rRNA". It matches the Rfam family "Eukaryotic small subunit ribosomal RNA", at positions 569 to 1078 of the family's 1831-position model. Lineage: Eukaryota; Fungi; Glomeromycota; Glomeromycetes; Glomerales; Glomeraceae. The record is from RNAcentral.
AGCAGCCGCGGUAAUUCCAGCUCCAAUAGCGUAUAUUAAAGUUGUUGCAGUUAAAAAGCUCGUAGUUGAAUUUCGGGAUCAAUAUGUUGGUCGUGCCUUGGUACGUACUGGCAUUAUCGACUCCUACCUUCUGAAGAACCUCGAUGUCAUUAAUUUGGUGCCUUGGGGAAUCAGGACUGUUACUUUGAAAAAUUAGAGUGUUUAAAGCAGGCUCGCGCUUGAAUACAUUAGCGUGGAAUAAUGAAAUAGGACGUUUGAUUCUAUUUUGUUGGUUUCUAGGAUCGACGUAAUGAUUAAUAGGGAUAGUUGGGGGCAUUAGUAUUCAAUUGUCAGAGGUGAAAUUCUUGGAUUUAUUGAAGACUAACUACUGCGAAAGCAUUUGCCAAGGAUGUUUUCAUUAAUCAAGAACGAAAGUUAGGGGAUCGAAGACGAUCAGAUACCGUCGUAGUCUUAACCAUAAACUAUGCCGACUAGGGAUCGGAUGAUGUUAAUUUUUAAUGUACUCA